AUUGAACGCUGGCGGCAUGCCUUACACAUGCAAGUCGAACGGCAGCACGGGAGCAAUCCUGGUGGCGAGUGGCGAACGGGUGAGUAAUAUAUCGGAACGUGCCCGGUCGUGGGGGAUAACGUAGCGAAAGCUACGCUAAUACCGCAUACGACCUACGGAUGAAAGCGGGGGAUCGCAAGACCUCGCGCGAUUGGAGCGGCCGAUAUCAGAUUAGGUAGUUGGUGAGGUAAAGGCUCACCAAGCCGACGAUCUGUAGCUGGUCUGAGAGGACGACCAGCCACACUGGGACUGAGACACGGCCCAGACUCCUACGGGAGGCAGCAGUGGGGGAAUUUUGGACAAUGGGCGCAAGCCUGAUCCAGCAAUGCCGCGUGCAGGAUGAAGGCCUCGGUUGUAACGUAG
RNAcentral lists this ribosomal RNA (402 nucleotides) under uncultured bacterium. RNAcentral's name for it is "bacterial SSU rRNA". It matches the Rfam family "Bacterial small subunit ribosomal RNA", at positions 29 to 432 of the family's 1533-position model. The record is from RNAcentral.